Molecule: long non-coding RNA, 726 nt
Organism: Coregonus clupeaformis (lake whitefish)
Lineage: Eukaryota; Metazoa; Chordata; Actinopteri; Salmoniformes; Salmonidae
Exons: 3
Source: RefSeq, a predicted model, not a curated record
AUACAGUGAUGUGAGUAGUCUACUAUGAUGAGGUCCAUUUUGAAGGAGACAUACAGUGAUGUGAGUAGUCUACUAUGAUGAGGUCCAUUUUGAAGGAGACAUACAGUGAUGUGAGUAGUCUACUAUGAUGAGGUCCAUUUUGAAGGAGACAUACAGUGAUGUGAGUAGUCUACUAUGAUGAGGUCCAUUUUGAAGGAGACAUACAGUGAUGUGAGUAGUCUACUAUGAUGAGGUCCAUUUUGAAGGAGACAUACAGUGAUGUGAGUAGUCUACUAUGAUGAGGUCCAUUUUGAAGGAGACAUACAGUGAUGUGAGUAGUCUACUAUGAUGAGGUCCAUUUUGAAGGAGUAUUACAGUGAUGUGAGUAGUCUACUAUGAUGAGGUCCAUUUUGAAGGAGACAUACAGUGAUGUGAGUAGUCUACUAUGAUGAGGUCCAUUUUGAAGGAGACAUACAGUGAUGUGAGUAGUCUACUAUGAUGAGGUCCAUUUUGAAGGAGACAUACAGUGAUGUGAGUAGUCUACUAUGAUGAGGUCCAUUCUGAAGGAGACAUACAGUGAUGUGAGUAGUCUACUAUGAUGAGGUCCAUUUUGAAGGAGUCAUACAGUGAUGUGAAUAGUCUACUAUGAUGAGGUCCAUUUUGAAGGAGACAUACAGUGAUGUGAGUAGUCUACUAUGAUGAGGUCCAUUUUGAAGGAGUAUUACAGUGAUGUGAGUAGUCUACUAU